This 2257-nucleotide long non-coding RNA is filed under the name Monodelphis domestica (gray short-tailed opossum). RNAcentral describes it as "lncRNA (ENSMODG00000049125.1)". Lineage: Eukaryota; Metazoa; Chordata; Mammalia; Didelphimorphia; Didelphidae. The record is from RNAcentral.
CUCCCAAGGCUGCUCCUCCUCCCGGAGGAGAGCUUCUUCCUGCUCGUGUCCCCGGCAAAUGCUUCCCUCUCAGCCCCUCCACGCUCAAGGAACUCGUUCCGGUCCCAACCAGAGCCAGCCGCAGCGGGGAAGGGCAGAAACAAGUAGUAAUAAGCAAAGCACUUCCGGCUAAGCUGAGCCUGGGGGCGGGGCCCGCGGUGGCCGACGCCCUAUGUGGGCGUUCCGGCAAAGAGAGAGUCUAGUCCAGGGAAUCCUCUGGAAAAAAACGCUAAUGCGGCCGUGGAGGCGGUGGCGCGGAGGAUGAUUAGAUAAAGUGCGCUGCCCUCGGCGGAGGGAUUAUGUAGUUUGUAGAAAGGCAUCGUUACGAAACCCUCUACCCAAGGGAUUUCAGUUUUGUCCUGUUGGAUUUUUUUCCCUGAUGGCCCAUGACCUCACAGGAAUGCGAUGGAGCCGGCUCCCCGGGGAGCUCAGGCCUACUGUGGAUGUAGUGCCGAUGCCUUGGGCCUGAGCUGUGCACACUCCAGGGCGCGCCAUGGCUGUAGACCUCGAGGUCACCGACACCGUGCCCUUCCCCACCCCCACUUUCCUGUGUGUGGGCCCUCUCUUCCCACUCCCUCCGGGUGGGCUUUGCGGCAGCGCCCGACUGGUGACUUCAUGGGUGUGUCAAAAUAAUUCAAGGAACCUCAUUAACUUUAUUAACACAGUUAAGCAACAGUUCUACAACCUUUUUGGUCUAAGAGCAGAGGUUUCCAACUCAAAGACUGCUCACUUGGGAGCUCCUGGAACCAGAUUAAAAUAUCAUGGAAUGAGAAGGCCAAGGGUCCAGCCUGAAUUGCAGCCCCAGAGUCAUGAAUUUCAUGUAAUUUUGACCUAUAAUUCCCAAUUCCCGUAUAUAAGAAGCAACAGAAAGCCCCCCCCCCAGUUUGUUCCUGAUUUGAAGAACAAAGGACUACAAUCAAGAGUGAGAAUGGCAUGCUGACCGGAUGACAAGAGACGAAGGACACUGAGUUUAUACAAUCAACCUAAAAGGACAUAGAAGGACUUUGAAAGUUUGAACGUUUGAUCAUGAGGAUAUGUAAGAAUGCAUCACACAUGUUAAUAUCACAUAUAUACAUACACAUCCUACAUAGAAAAGGAAGAUAUCUCAUGGAAUGGGUAAGUAUACAACAGAGUUGCAACACAAAAGUCACACAUAUAAAUUUCUGUGGAAAAUUCAAACAGAUGAAGAUAUUUCUUAUCUGCACGAGUUUGCACAGAAAUCUAGAACAAUGUAUAUGGAUGUACAUUUGUAAAUCUGUAUAGGCACAACCUAUGUACACAUGUAAAUACUAAUUUACAAACAAGCUAUAUUAGGAUAAUUUAUUAAUGUUCUAAUGACGAACUAUAGGACAACUUAGAUAACUUGUUCAAAGUCUUAGGGACAUAGAACUACUUAAGUAUAGAAGCUAGAUUGCAUUAUGAUUUUAGGUGAGCAAUUGUUAGUGAUAGAAAAUUUUACUUAGUGAUUAUAGACAUUAGGAGAUAAGACAGUUACUUAUUCAAAAUGUUAUGGAAAUCGUUGAAACUGUUUAAAAUUAUUUACAUGAUUUGUUGUUCUGUCAAAACCAUGUUCAUGUAAAUCCCUAUUACCUAAUCCAUUUUCCUAUACCCAAACUUAGCAUAGAACUAGAUAGAAUAGCUAAGAUAAGUUAAGAUUUGUUAUUUUGGGAGGGUAAAGGAAUAUUUAACAUAGUACAGAGUUAUGAAUAGUUAGCUAAGAAAUAUCCAAAAGGUAAGUAUCAUUUAAAAAAAUGCAAGCUGCAUUUUUUAAGACAAAAAAGGGAGAUAUUGUCAAAGAGGCAUGAAUGCAAAGGACAUCAUCUGUCAGUCAAAAAGGAAGAUUCCAUUUGGAAUGUGACUGGGAGACAGUUGGAGUCAAGCAAACGGCUGAACUGGGUUUUUGGCUUUUGGCUUCUGACAGAGGUGGAAAAGAAACUAUUUGUCUGAGGCUUUUGCUUCUGACAGAGGUGGAGAAGAAGCUAUUUGUCUGAAGCUUUUGCUGGCUAGCUGAUUUGAAGGAGGAAGAAGAAGAAAGACAGUUGUCCUCAUAUCUCUCUGACUGACUUUGUUUCACAGUUGUGACAGAAUUGCCAUACCCCCAAUAUCCUCCAAACACUCUCUAUAGAGAAUAGGGAAAUCCUACCCCCUCUUACCUUAUACUCCAUCCUUUUCUGUCUUCCCCAAUAAACCCUUACUUGAGUUAAAAAAAGAGAAAAAA